GACGGUGUAGCUCAAGCGGUAGAGCACAUGCUUAGCAUGCAUGAGGUCCUGGGUUCAAUCCCCAGCACCUCCA
Transfer RNA from Camelus ferus (Wild Bactrian camel), 73 nucleotides. It matches the Rfam family "tRNA". From Rfam's summary of the family: Transfer RNA (tRNA) molecules are approximately 80 nucleotides in length. Their secondary structure includes four short double-helical elements and three loops (D, anti-codon, and T loops). Further hydrogen bonds mediate the characteristic L-shaped molecular structure. tRNAs have two regions of fundamental functional importance: the anti-codon, which is responsible for specific mRNA codon recognition, and the 3' end, to which the tRNAs corresponding amino acid is attached (by aminoacyl-tRNA synthetases). tRNAs cope with the degeneracy of the genetic code in two manners: having more than one tRNA (with a specific anti-codon) for a particular amino acid; and 'wobble' base-pairing, i.e. permitting non-standard base-pairing at the 3rd anti-codon position. NCBI's taxonomy places the organism in Eukaryota, Metazoa, Chordata, Mammalia, Artiodactyla, Camelidae. The record is from Rfam.